RNAcentral lists this ribosomal RNA (253 nucleotides) under uncultured bacterium. RNAcentral's name for it is "partial 16S ribosomal RNA". It matches the Rfam family "Bacterial small subunit ribosomal RNA", at positions 524 to 776 of the family's 1533-position model. The record is from RNAcentral.
UACGGAGGAUGCAAGCGUUAUCCGGAAUGAUUGGGCGUAAAGCGUCCGCAGGUGGCUAUGUAAGUCUGCUGUUAAAGAGUGAGGCUCAACCUCAUAAGAGCAGUGGAAACUACAUGGCUAGAGUGCGUUCGGGGCAGAGGGAAUUCCUGGUGUAGCGGUGAAAUGCGUAGAGAUCAGGAAGAACACCGGUGGCGAAAGCGCUCUGCUAGGCCGCAACUGACACUCAUGGACGAAAGCUAGGGGAGCGAGUGGG